This 88-nucleotide transfer RNA is filed under the name Siphonobacter aquaeclarae. RNAcentral describes it as "tRNA_Ser_TGA". It matches the Rfam family "tRNA". From Rfam's summary of the family: Transfer RNA (tRNA) molecules are approximately 80 nucleotides in length. Lineage: Bacteria; Pseudomonadati; Bacteroidota; Cytophagia; Cytophagales; Cytophagaceae. The record is from RNAcentral.
AGAGGGUUGGCGGAGUGGUCGAUCGCGGCAGUCUUGAAAACUGUUGACUGUAACAGGUCCGGGGGUUCGAAUCCCUCACCCUCUGCGA